RNAcentral lists this long non-coding RNA (578 nucleotides) under Anser brachyrhynchus (Pink-footed goose). RNAcentral describes it as "lncRNA (ENSABRG00000004674.1)". Lineage: Eukaryota; Metazoa; Chordata; Aves; Anseriformes; Anatidae. The record is from RNAcentral.
CAUGACCCUAAAAAUGGGAAGAACAGUCUCCAAAACAUUUCUACUCAGAAGGAUAUCCUGAAAGCUUAUUUUAUAUCUUCCUCUGGAAAAGAAUAAGCCAAAUUCAGUGCAGGUGAAGACAUGGACUGAAAUUUUCUUCGUAUUUGCCGAGUUAUGACCUGCUUGGUGUCAAAAAAUGCAUAAAUGAGAGCGGAGUUUGGACCGUGCCAUGUGAUUCAUUUUGCAAUGUCUCAGAUUCUGUACUAAGCUGUCUGUCUGGAAAUACUUCUGCUGUGGACCUCAGUGCCUCAAAUACUGAUACACUGGAAUCAGUGUACCAGUCCUGGCUGGGUGGUCCUGUGUCUGCAGCAAGAAUGUGUGCAUGUGCCAGAGAGGCGGUACGGAAAAGGAAAGGAUGUCAAGAUCAUCAGCUAGUGUGGUUGGAGCAUACCAGCCUGUGCAGUCAGUGGGAUUUGUGUGGUGAGUAUCACACCAGGUGUGUUUGAUACCUCUGCCUCAACAACCGGAGUAUCAGACCAGAAGGCAGAGGGACUGUGUAGAGCUGGAUAAAUCUUUAUUCCUGUUUAUCUGAAAUGAGG